GUGGGGAAUUUUGGACAAUGGGCGCAAGCCUGAUCCAGCAAUGCCGCGUGCAGGAAGAAGGCCUUCGGGUUGUAAACUGCUUUUGUACGGAACGAAACGGUCCGGGUUAAUACCCUGGGCUAAUGACGGUACCGUAAGAAUAAGCACCGGCUAACUACGUGCCAGCAGCCGCGGUAAUACGUAGGGUGCAAGCGUUAAUCGGAAUUACUGGGCGUAAAGCGUGCGCAGGCGGUUUUGUAAGACAGGCGUGAAAUCCCCGGGCUCAACCUGGGAAUUGCGCUUGGGACUGCAAGGCUGGAGUGCGGCAGAGGGGGAUGGAAUUCCGCGUGUAGCAGUGAAAUGCGUAGAUAUGCGGAGGAACACCGAUGGCGAAGGCAGGUGGCUGUACCUUAAUCGACGCUGAUGCACGAAAGCAUGGGGAGCAAACAGGAUUAGAUACCCGUGUAGUCC
RNAcentral lists this ribosomal RNA (450 nucleotides) under uncultured bacterium. RNAcentral describes it as "bacterial SSU rRNA". It matches the Rfam family "Bacterial small subunit ribosomal RNA", at positions 354 to 796 of the family's 1533-position model. The record is from RNAcentral.